AUACGGAGGGUGCAAGCGUUAAUCGGAAUUACUGGGCGUAAAGCGCGCGUAGGUGGUUGUGUAAGUCGGAUGUGAAAUCCCCGGGCUCAACCUGGGAACUGCAUUCGAUACUGGCAGGCUAGAGUAUAGUAGAGGCAAGUGGAAUUUCGGGUGUAGCGGUGAAAUGCGUAGAUAUCCGGAGGAACAUCAGUGGCGAAGGCGACUACCUGGACUAACAUUGACGCUGAGGUGCGAAAGCGUGGGGAGCAAACAGGAUUAGAUACCCCGGUAGUCC
This 274-nucleotide ribosomal RNA is filed under the name uncultured bacterium. RNAcentral's name for it is "partial 16S ribosomal RNA". It matches the Rfam family "Bacterial small subunit ribosomal RNA", at positions 523 to 796 of the family's 1533-position model. The record is from RNAcentral.